Mustela erminea (ermine) is the source of this 79-nucleotide long non-coding RNA. RefSeq lists it as uncharacterized. NCBI's taxonomy places the organism in Eukaryota, Metazoa, Chordata, Mammalia, Carnivora, Mustelidae. The record is from RefSeq and is a predicted model, not a curated record. The transcript is spliced from 3 exons.
UUUGUUUAAACAUUAAGUUUUCAACUCCUCUGGGUAAAUAACAAGGGAUAUGAAUGCUGGAUCAUAUGAUUAGAGUGUG